Molecule: non-coding RNA, 582 nt
Filed under: Pan troglodytes (chimpanzee)
Lineage: Eukaryota; Metazoa; Chordata; Mammalia; Primates; Hominidae
Source: RNAcentral
GUUCUGUCAGCUGACCUCUGCAGAAGGGAAUUGCUAACCGCUGCCUUGCUCCUUAGCUGACAAAUGAAUGAUCGCAGCUCCAUCUGUUUUCACUAUGGCUGCCUCUAGCCCAGGUGCUCAGACAGAGAGCCUGGUGUGACAUCUUAGAUCAAGAUGAAUUGGCACAAACUCCUGAUCCAAGAUUGUUUUAUACCAUUUAAUUUAGUUUCUUCCCCUGCUUGGAUGAGCACAGCUCUGGUUAUGGAUUUCUAUUCUAAUGUACUGAAGCAGGCCCUGAAAGAAGCCAAUGAAGCAGCUGCUGGAGCAAGGGACUGCAGGGAUACUGAUCAAUAGGCAAGGCAUUGACCCCAGCCGUUCAGCCUCUGCAACGGCCACUGCUUGAAGCGGGAGGGGGCACAGAAGCACACAUGGGCUGCUUCCAGUAGGAAAUUAAACAACAGGGGGCAUUUGAGACAUGCCUCCAUUUAAUCAUGCUAAGGGGUGACAUGGAGAUCCAUUUUCUUGACAGGACGGUUGAUCACCCUAUCACAGUAAGAAAAUUAAUACCUUCAACUAGCCCUGUGUGGAAAAGAGAAGCUAUAU